GAUGAACGCUGGCGGCGUGCCUAAUACAUGCAAGUCGAGCGAACGGACGAGAAGCUUGCUUCUCUGAUGUUAGCGGCGGACGGGUGAGUAACACGUGGAUAACCUACCUAUAAGACUGGGAUAACUUCGGGAAACCGGAGCUAAUACCGGAUAAUAUUUUGAACCGCAUGGUUCAAAAGUGAAAGACGGUCUUGCUGUCACUUAUAGAUGGAUCCGCGCUGCAUUAGCUAGUUGGUAAGGUAACGGCUUACCAAGGCAACGAUGCAUAGCCGACCUGAGAGGGUGAUCGGCCACACUGGAACUGAGACACGGUCCAGACUCCUACGGGAGGCAGCAGUAGGGAAUCUUCCGCCAUGGGCGAAAGCCUGACGGAGCCACGCCGCGUGAGUGAUGAAGGUCUUCGGAUCGUAAAACCUCUGUUAUUAGGGAAAAACCUAUGUGUAAGUAACUGUGCACAUCUUGACGGUACCUAAUCAGAAAGCCCCGGCUAACUACGUGCCAGCAGCCGCGGUAAUACGUAGGUGGCAAGCGUUAUCCGGAAUUUUUGGGCGUAAGCGCGCGUAGGCGGUUUUUUAGUCUGAUGUGAAAGCCCACGGCUCAUCCGUGGAGGGUCAUUGGAAACUGGAAAACUUGAGUGCAGAAGAGGAAAGUGGAAUUCCAUGUGUAGCGGUGAAAUGCGCAGAGAUAUGGAGGAACACCAGUGGCGAAGGCGACUUUCUGGUCUGUAACUGACGCUGAUGUGCGAAAGCGUGGGGAUCAAACAGGAUUAGAUACCCUGGUAGUCCACGCCGUAAACGAUGAGUGCUAAGUGUUAGGGGGUUUCCGCCCCUUAGUGCUGCAGCUAACGCAUUAAGCACUCCGCCUGGGGAGUACGACCGCAAGGUUGAAACUCAAAGGAAUUGACGGGGACCCGCACAAGCGGCGGAGGCAUGUGGUUUAAUUCGAAGCAACGCGAAGAACCUUACCAAAUCUUGACCUCCUUUGACAACUCUAGAGAUAGAGCUUUCCCCUUCGGGGGACAAAGUGACAGGUGGUGCAUGGUUGUCGUCAGCUCGUGUCGUGAGAUGUUGGGUUAAGUCCCGCAACGAGCGCAACCCUUAAGCUUAGUUGCCAUCAUUAAGUUGGGCACUCUAAGUUGACUGCCGGUGACAAACCGGAGGAAGGUGGGGAUGACGUCAAAUCAUCAUGCCCCUUAUGAUUUGGGCUACACACGUGCUACAAUGGACAAUACAAAGGGCAGCGAAACCGUGAGGUCAAGCAAAUCCCAUAAAGUUGUUCUCAGUUCGGAUUGUAGUCUGCAACUCGACUACAUGAAGCUGGAAUCGCUAGUAAUCGUAGAUCAGCAUGCUACGGUGAAUACGUUCCCGGGUCU
This 1372-nucleotide ribosomal RNA is filed under the name uncultured bacterium. RNAcentral describes it as "bacterial SSU rRNA". It matches the Rfam family "Bacterial small subunit ribosomal RNA", at positions 28 to 1381 of the family's 1533-position model. The record is from RNAcentral.